UUGAUGCCUGUGAUGGUGUUAAAUAUACUUUGAGAGAUUAAUCUCUGGGAAAAAAGUAAUCAAAUCUGAGGCUACCA
This 77-nucleotide small nucleolar RNA is filed under the name Brassica carinata (Ethiopian mustard). RNAcentral also lists the same sequence under 1 other name. The record is from RNAcentral. Lineage: Eukaryota; Viridiplantae; Streptophyta; Magnoliopsida; Brassicales; Brassicaceae.